AAAGUUUAUACAAAACACCAACAUGUGAGGUUGGAGAAGAUACAAUCUUA
This 50-nucleotide transfer RNA is filed under the name Proasellus ortizi. RNAcentral's name for it is "transfert RNA-H(CAC)". The record is from RNAcentral. Lineage: Eukaryota; Metazoa; Arthropoda; Malacostraca; Isopoda; Asellidae.